This 475-nucleotide ribosomal RNA is filed under the name Enterobacter cloacae. Its description in RNAcentral is "bacterial SSU rRNA". It matches the Rfam family "Bacterial small subunit ribosomal RNA", at positions 927 to 1402 of the family's 1533-position model. The record is from RNAcentral. Lineage: Bacteria; Pseudomonadati; Pseudomonadota; Gammaproteobacteria; Enterobacterales; Enterobacteriaceae.
AAGCGGUGGAGCAUGUGGUUUAAUUCGAUGCAACGCGAAGAACCUUACCUACUCUUGACAUCCAGAGAACUUUCCAGAGAUGGAUUGGUGCCUUCGGGAACUCUGAGACAGGUGCUGCAUGGCUGUCGUCAGCUCGUGUUGUGAAAUGUUGGGUUAAGUCCCGCAACGAGCGCAACCCUUAUCCUUUGUUGCCAGCGGUUCGGCCGGGAACUCAAAGGAGACUGCCAGUGAUAAACUGGAGGAAGGUGGGGAUGACGUCAAGUCAUCAUGGCCCUUACGAGUAGGGCUACACACGUGCUACAAUGGCGCAUACAAAGAGAAGCGACCUCGCGAGAGCAAGCGGACCUCAUAAAGUGCGUCGUAGUCCGGAUUGGAGUCUGCAACUCGACUCCAUGAAGUCGGAAUCGCUAGUAAUCGUAGAUCAGAAUGCUACGGUGAAUACGUUCCCGGGCCUUGUACACACCGCCCGUCACAC